UACGGGGGGGGCAAGCGUUGUUCGGAAUUACUGGGCGUAAAGGGCGCGUAGGCGGCCUGCUAAGUCGAACGUGAAAUCCCUGGGCUCAACCCAGGAACUGCGUCCGAUACUGGUUGGCUUGAAUCCGGGAGAGGGACGUGGAAUUCCAGGUGUAGCGGUGAAAUGCGUAGAUAUCUGGAGGAACACCGGUGGCGAAGGCGACGUCCUGGACCGGUAUUGACGCUGAGGCGCGAAAGCCAGGGGAGCAAACGGG
RNAcentral lists this ribosomal RNA (253 nucleotides) under uncultured bacterium. RNAcentral's name for it is "partial 16S ribosomal RNA". It matches the Rfam family "Bacterial small subunit ribosomal RNA", at positions 524 to 776 of the family's 1533-position model. The record is from RNAcentral.